AUGAACCCCCCAGGAAUGUGGGGCUCCCCCAUUCCCCAAAAAAAAAUCCCCAGGGAAUUCCUCCAUCCCCUUCUCUGGAAUUCCACAUCCCACAAAAUCCACCUCGAUUUCCCUUUUAGGGACCCCAAAUCCCGGGAUCCCGAGCAGAUCCCUCUUUCCCUGGAUCCCAAAGAUUCCCAUUCCCGGCUGUUCCCGAGCUCUCCCACGCACUCACUCAGAGCUGCGCAAUUCCCACAUUCCCAGCUGGAAUUCUGGAUCCUCAGGGCCGGCCGGGAAUCUUCCCGGAUCUCAAAUCCCCCAAAAAUUCCCUGUGGGAAUCUUCCCAGGAUCCCAAAUCCCCCAAAAAUUCCCUCUGGGAAUCUUCCCGGAUCUCAAAUCCCCAAAAAAUUCCCUCUGGGAAUCUUCCCUGAUCUCAAAUCCCCAAAAAAUUCCCUCUGGGAAUCUCCCACAAUCUCAGAUCCCCAAAAAUUCCUUCCGGGAAUCUCCCCAGACCUCGGAUCCCCAAAAAUUCCCUCCAGGAAUCUCCUUGGAUCUUGGGCCCCCAAAAAUUCCUUCCGGGAAUCCCCCCGGAUCUCAAAUCCCCAAAAAUUCCCUCCAGGAAUCUCCUUGGAUCUUGGGCCCCCAAAAAUUCCUUCCAGGAAUCUUCCCGGAUCUCAAAUCCCCCAAAAAUUCCCUCUGGGAAUCUCCCCCGGAUCCCAAAUUCCCUCUGGGAAUCUCCCCGGAUCUCAAAUCCCCCCAAAAAUUCCAUCCAGGAAUCCCCCCGGAUCUCAAAUCCCCAAAAAUUCCUUCCAGGAAUCUCCCACAAUCUCGGAUCCCCAAAAAUUCCCUCUGGGAAUCUCCCCGGAUCUCAAAUCCCCCAAAAAUUCCCUCUGGGAAUCUCCCACAAUUUCGGAUCCCCAAAAAUUCCCUCUGGGAAUCUCCCAGGAUCUCAAAUCCCCCAAAAAUUCCCUCUGGGAAUCUUCCUGGAUCUCAAAUCCCCAAAAAAUUCUCUCCAUGAAUCUCCCCAGAUCUCAAAUCCCCCAAAAAUUCCCUCCAGGAAUCUCCUUGGAUCUUGGGCCCCCAAAAUUCCCUCUGGGAAUAUUCCCAGGUCUCAAAUCCCAAAAAAAAUUCCCUCUGGGAAUCUUCCUGGAUCUCAAAUCCCCCAAAAAUUCCAUCCAUGAAUCCCCCCGGAUCUCAAAUCCCCAAAAAAUUCCCUCUGGGAAUCUUCCCCGAUCUCAGAUCCCCAAAAAUUCCCUCUGGGAAUCUUCCUGGAUCUCAAAUCCCCCAAAAUUCCCUCUGGGAAUCUCCCCCGGCUCCCAAAUCCCCCAAAAAUUCCCUCUGGGAAUCUCCCUGGAUGAGUUCCGAGCAGGAACCGUCCCGCUCCUCCUCGUCCCUUUUCCCGUCCCGUCCCAUCUCAAAUCCCGGACGAUUUUGGGCUUGGAAAACGCUUCCCCAAAUUCCCGAUUUUUUCCCGAAUAA
RNAcentral lists this long non-coding RNA (1458 nucleotides) under Zonotrichia albicollis (white-throated sparrow). RNAcentral describes it as "lncRNA (ENSZALG00000000695.1)". The record is from RNAcentral. Lineage: Eukaryota; Metazoa; Chordata; Aves; Passeriformes; Passerellidae.